Molecule: ribosomal RNA, 474 nt
Filed under: uncultured Flavobacterium sp.
Lineage: Bacteria; Pseudomonadati; Bacteroidota; Flavobacteriia; Flavobacteriales; Flavobacteriaceae
Description: bacterial SSU rRNA
Rfam family: Bacterial small subunit ribosomal RNA
Source: RNAcentral
GAGUUUGAUCAGGCUCAGGAUGAACGCUAGCGGCAGGCUUAACACAUGCAAGUCGAGGGGUAGAGUUAGCUUGCUAACUUGAGACCGGCGCACGGGUGCGUAACGCGUAUGCAAUCUACCUUGUACAGGGGGAUAGCCCAGAGAAAUUUGGAUUAAUACCCCAUAGUGUAACGGAAAGGCAUCUUUUUGUUACUAAAGUUCCAACGGUACAAGAUGAGCAUGCGUCCCAUUAGCUAGUUGGUGUGGUAACGGCAUACCAAAGGCAACGAUGGGUAGGGGUCCUGAGAGGGAGAUCCCCCACACUGGUACUGAGACACGGACCAGACUCCUACGGGAGGCAGCAGUGAGGAAUAUUGGUCAAUGGGCGCAAGCCUGAACCAGCCAUGCCGCGUGCAGGAUGACGGUCCUAUGGAUUGUAAAACUGCUUUUGUACAGGAAGAAACACUCCCUCGUGAGGGAACUUGACGGUACUGU